CUCCUGUUUUCCGGGUGAGCUGCGGUUCUCGGCCUUAGAGGACUUCACAGCUCAGCCAUGAAAGUUAGCAAUGACGUUUGGUGGUGUCCUUAUAAGAGGAGGAAAUGAGGACACAGACACACACGGAGGGACAACCACGUGAGGACACAGGGAGAAGAUGGCCAUCUACGAGCCCAGGAGAGAGGCCUCAGGAGAAACCAGCCCUGCCGACACCUCGAUCUGAGACUUCCAGCCUCCGGAACUGUGAGAAAUAGACAUUGCGUAAGCUGCGCGGUCUGUGGGAUCUGUUACAGCAGCCCUAGCAGACUAAAUGUAUGUUCUUUCACAGAAGCAACCAAGAACGAUCCAGCCUAUACAGGAAAGAAAGAGAAAAACGUGCGGUUGACUAAAGAGUUAACUUAAGUGUAAUUUCUCACACAUCAAGCUGCCAUUCGCGCACGGUGGAGUUCUGUAACUAGCAUUUAACUCUCCUCGCCAGUAAUUGGAGCUGGCUGGGGCAAACGCCUGUGUCUUAGUUCGGCUCAGAUGCAUCGAUCCUCUCCUUCUGUCUGGUCCUUCUUUGAUUCCAGAUUUUCCUUACCGGUCGCAGAGAGCCUUUCAUCUCAUCACCCGGCAUUCUUCAAGCUCCGUGUUUAAGUGUGGGUUUCCAUCAGCUACCUUUCUAGAUGCUGGUGAAAGCAGGACCUGCGCAACGUCGAAAUGCCCAAUGCUUCCCUUCCCUCGAGGCUCCAGCAUGCAGGCUGCUUCCCCUGGGCCUCAAAGGAGACACCUUAGACAGAGGCGGCUUCAGCCCGCUCACAUCGGCUGGCCAGAGUGAGCAUCUCUUCCCCGCUCUGUGGUCAGUGAUGGAGCUUAGUAGCUGGAAAUUGGCCAUGGGGGAGCAGUUACAUCAUGGAAAUCGACAAAUACUUCAAAUCUG
Molecule: long non-coding RNA, 919 nt
Filed under: Equus caballus (horse)
Lineage: Eukaryota; Metazoa; Chordata; Mammalia; Perissodactyla; Equidae
Description: lncRNA (ENSECAG00000043415.2)
Source: RNAcentral